This 486-nucleotide unclassified non-coding RNA is filed under the name Hevea brasiliensis (rubber tree). Lineage: Eukaryota; Viridiplantae; Streptophyta; Magnoliopsida; Malpighiales; Euphorbiaceae. The record is from RNAcentral.
GAAAAUACCGUUUUCCGUUAAAUUCGAAUAGUGACGAGGCGUACCUUCAAAGAAUACUCGCAUGGUCCUUUCCUCUACCAAAGAGGACCAUGGAAAAUCACGCUUCGAAGCUCCAUGACAAGUUUUUAAAUAUAAUAUAUAAAUAUAUCAUCACAAACAGUCAAGUGGUUUAAUUUUUCUUUAUGUAUAUAUAUAUAUAUAACCAAUUAAUGAUAGAAAGACCUGACCUCUGAUCAACUCAACAACAUUCCCCGUCAUUGCCACCGGCUCGGUGCUUCCAAAAGAAAUAUAUAAUUUUUGAGUGCCUGUGACGAGAAAGAAAGAAAGAAAGGUUCCAUAAAGCAGAAGGUGCCAUAAAGAAAGGUGUCCUUCCUGGACUGGAAGGGUAUGGUAACCAGGACAUGCGGAGGAGAUUUCUAUUUUUCUAGAGAGAGAAAUACAAGUCUUUAUUAGUAGCAGUAUAAAUAGAAGAAGAAGAAGAAGAAG